This 112-nucleotide non-coding RNA is filed under the name pig gut metagenome. RNAcentral's name for it is "FMN riboswitch (RFN element)". It matches the Rfam family "FMN riboswitch aptamer (RFN element)". From Rfam's summary of the family: The RFN element is a highly conserved domain that is found frequently in the 5'-untranslated regions of prokaryotic mRNAs that encode for flavin mononucleotide (FMN) biosynthesis and transport proteins. The record is from RNAcentral.
AUCUUCAGGGCGGGGUGUGAUUCCCCACCGGCGGUAAAGUCCGCGACCCUCCCGCGGGAGGCUGACCCGGUGCAACUCCGGGACCGACAGUAUAGUCUGGAUGGAAGAAGAU